This 107-nucleotide small nuclear RNA is filed under the name Chinchilla lanigera (long-tailed chinchilla). The record is from RNAcentral. Lineage: Eukaryota; Metazoa; Chordata; Mammalia; Rodentia; Chinchillidae.
GUGCUCCCUUUGGCAGCAUAGGUACUAAAAUUGGAAGGAUGCAGAGGAAAUGAGUUUGGCCCCUGAGCAAAGAUGGCAUGAAAAUCCAUGAAGCAUUCUGUAUUUUC